RNAcentral lists this unclassified non-coding RNA (344 nucleotides) under soil metagenome. RNAcentral describes it as "partial contains 5.8S ribosomal RNA, internal transcribed spacer 2, and large subunit ribosomal RNA". The stretch from base 1 to 118 matches the Rfam family "5.8S ribosomal RNA", at positions 35 to 154 of the family's 154-position model. The record is from RNAcentral.
GAUGAAGAAGCAGCGAAAUGCGAUACAUAAUGUGAAUUGCAAAUUCAGUGAAUCAUCGAGUCUUUGAACGCACAUUGCGCCCCCUGGUAUUCCGGGGGGCAUGCCUGUCCGAGCGUCAUUGCUGCCCUCAAGCACGGCUUGUGUGUUGGGCCCCGUCCUCCGAUCCCGGGGGACGGGCCCGAAAGGCAGCGGCGGCACCGCGUCCGGUCCUCGAGCGUAUGGGGCUUUGUCACCCGCUCUGUAGGCCCGGCCGGCGCUUGCCGAUCAACCCAAAUUUUUAUCCAGGUUGACCUCGGAUCAGGUAGGGAUACCCGCUGAACUUAAGCAUAUCAAUAAGCGGAGGA